Molecule: ribosomal RNA, 216 nt
Filed under: uncultured bacterium
Lineage: Bacteria
Description: partial 16S ribosomal RNA
Rfam family: Bacterial small subunit ribosomal RNA
Source: RNAcentral
AUCCCAGUUCGGAUUGCAGGCUGCAACCCGCCUGUAUGAAGUUGGAAUCGCCAGUAAUCGCGGAUCAGCAUGCCGCGGUGAAUACGUUCCCGGGCCUUGUACACACCGCCCGUCACACCAUGAGAGUCGGGAACACCCGAAGUCCGUAGUCUAACCGCAAGGGGGGCGCGGCCGAAGGUGGGUCCGGUAAUUGGGGUGAAGUCGUAACAAGGUAGC